This is a non-coding RNA of Pelobates cultripes (western spadefoot toad), 254 nucleotides long. Lineage: Eukaryota; Metazoa; Chordata; Amphibia; Anura; Pelobatidae. The record is from the annotation of a GenBank genome assembly.
AUGUAUUGUAACAUAUUAAGUAGUAUGUAGUAUGGGCUUAGAGGUGUGGCUUGAAGCUGCUCUUCCAAGCCUUCUAACUAUUAAAAUAAAAUUAUUUGGGUCCACUAUAAAUGGGAGAACUAUUAUGGUCACCAUAGCAACUUAAGUUAGAUGAAGUUGCUCUAGUGAGCAUUGUGUUUUUUAAGGUCAAUAAAAAAAAAAAAUGAAAAGCAUGACUCAAUGAGAGGGUUAUGUAGAACAGGAGUGCCCAUAAG